UGGUUGCUGCUUUGUCCUAUUGACAG
This 26-nucleotide non-coding RNA is filed under the name Mus musculus (house mouse). Lineage: Eukaryota; Metazoa; Chordata; Mammalia; Rodentia; Muridae. The record is from RNAcentral.